GCGGUCGCUCUACCGAUUGAUGGCUUAGUGAGGCCUUCGGAUUGAAAUUCGGAGACUGGCAACAGACUCUUGGUUUUGAAAAGUUGGACAAACUUGGUCAUUUAGAGGAAGUAAAAGUCGUAACAAGGUUUCCGUAGGUGAACCUGCGGAAGGAUCAUUACCGAUUUUUAGCGGACCUGAUCUUUGAUCAUGGUCUCGCGAAAACUUGUAUUUAAAACCCCACUCUUAUAAAUUGAAUCAUUUUAUAUUAUGUUUGUAAAAAAUAAAGAUUUUUUUCAACAACGGAUCUGUUGCUUCUCGCAUCGAUGAACAACGUAGCGAACUGCAAUAAGUGAGGUGAAUUGAAUAAUUCCGUGAAUCAUCGAAUCUUUGACCGCUAGUUGCCCUCUCUGGUAACCCGGGGAGUAUGCCUGUUUGAGGGUCAGUGUUAAUAAAAAUCGGCGCGUUGCACUUUUUGUGAUGUUCCGGAGUUUGAGUUAUCUUAUCUUCUGGGUUUAAGAGGCAUAAAAUUGACCUUCUUUGUGCUUUGUAUACGUACAUAAAAUUUUUUUUAUUCGUUUAUCUUAAUGCCAAAAUCUAUUAGAUGCGACCAUAUCGUGUGGUUCCGUGUCUAUAAAUUUUUCAUGAUUUGACCUCAAAUCAGGUAGGAACACCCGCUGAACUUAAGCAUAUCAAUAAGCGGAGGAAAAGAAAAUAACAAUGAUUCCCCUAGUAACUGCGAGUGAAGAGGGACAAGCUCAAAUUUUAAAUCCAUCGGGUUUUACCUGAUCGAGUUGUAAUUUGAAGAAGCGUUUUCUGCGUAUUUGAUCAGCCCAAGUCCUAUUGAAUGAGGCAUCAUGGAGGGUGAUAAUCCCGUCCGGUUGAUCAUUUGCGUUUUACGAUACGCUUUCUAAGAGUCAAGUUGUUUGGGAUUGCAGCUUAAAAUGGGAGGUAAAUUUCUCCUAAGGCUAAAUAACGGCGAGAGACCGAUAGCGAACAAGUACCGUGAGGGAAAGAUGAAAAGAACUUGAAAAGAGAGUAAACAG
RNAcentral lists this ribosomal RNA (1025 nucleotides) under Rhizophagus irregularis. RNAcentral describes it as "eukaryotic LSU rRNA". The stretch from base 630 to 1025 matches the Rfam family "Eukaryotic large subunit ribosomal RNA", at positions 1 to 395 of the family's 3401-position model. The record is from RNAcentral. Lineage: Eukaryota; Fungi; Glomeromycota; Glomeromycetes; Glomerales; Glomeraceae.